RNAcentral lists this transfer RNA (73 nucleotides) under Rana wuyiensis. RNAcentral describes it as "tRNA-Leu". It matches the Rfam family "tRNA". Rfam says of the family: Transfer RNA (tRNA) molecules are approximately 80 nucleotides in length. Lineage: Eukaryota; Metazoa; Chordata; Amphibia; Anura; Ranidae. The record is from RNAcentral.
GUUAGUAUGGCAGAGCUUGGUUAUGCAAAAGAUCUAAGUCCUUUUAACCGGGGUUCAAAUCCCCUCACUAACU